CCUACGGGAGGCAGCAGUGGGGAAUAUUGCACAAUGGGGGAAACCCUGAUGCAGCGACGCCGCGUGAGUGAAGAAGUAUUUCGGUACGUAAAGCUCUAUCAGCAGGGAAGAAAAUGACGGUACCUGACUAAGAAGCCCCGGCUAACUACGUGCCAGCAGCCGCGGUAAUACGUAGGGGGCAAGCGUUAUCCGGAUUUACUGGGUGUAAAGGGAGCGUAGACGGCAGCGCAAGUCUGGAGUGAAAUCCCAUGGCUUAACCAUGGAACUGCUUUGGAAACGGUGCAGCUAGAGUGCAGGAGAGGUAAGCGGAAUUCCUAGUGUAGCGGUGAAAUGCGUAGAUAUUAGGAGGAACACCAGUGGCGAAGGCGGCUUACUGGACUGUAACUGACGUUGAGGCUCGAAAGCGUGGGGAGCAAACAGGAUUAGAUACCCCGGUAGUC
RNAcentral lists this ribosomal RNA (440 nucleotides) under uncultured bacterium. Its description in RNAcentral is "partial 16S ribosomal RNA". It matches the Rfam family "Bacterial small subunit ribosomal RNA", at positions 338 to 795 of the family's 1533-position model. The record is from RNAcentral.